RNAcentral lists this ribosomal RNA (465 nucleotides) under Vreelandella stevensii. RNAcentral describes it as "partial 16S ribosomal RNA". It matches the Rfam family "Bacterial small subunit ribosomal RNA", at positions 338 to 795 of the family's 1533-position model. The record is from RNAcentral. Lineage: Bacteria; Pseudomonadati; Pseudomonadota; Gammaproteobacteria; Oceanospirillales; Halomonadaceae.
CCUACGGGUGGCAGCAGUGGGGAAUAUUGGACAAUGGGCGAAAGCCUGAUCCAGCCAUGCCGCGUGUGUGAAGAAGGCCUUCGGGUUGUAAAGCACUUUCAGUGGGGAAGAAAGCCUUGGGGCUAAUACCCUCGAGGAAGGACAUCACCCACAGAAGAAGCACCGGCUAACUCCGUGCCAGCAGCCGCGGUAAUACGGAGGGUGCGAGCGUUAAUCGGAAUUACUGGGCGUAAAGCGCGCGUAGGCGGUCUGAUAAGCCGGUUGUGAAAGCCCCGGGCUCAACCUGGGAACGGCAUCCGGAACUGUCAGGCUAGAGUGCAGGAGAGGAAGGGAGAAUUCCCGGUGUAGCGGUGAAAUGAGUAGAGAUCGGGAGGAAUACCAGUGGCGAAGGCGGCCUUCUAGACUGACACUGACGCUGAGGUGCGAAAGCGUGGGUAGCAAACAGGAUUAGAUACCCCUGUAGUC